ACAGUAAGCCAAGGUUAAUUUAUUAUUGAAGAAAGAAAAAUUUUUUAAAGCCAGGCUCAGUGGUGUGUGCCUAUUGUCUUAACUACUCAGGAGGCUGAGGCAGGAGGAUUGCUUGAGCCUGGGAGUUCAAGUUCAGUCGGGACAACAUAGUGAGACCCCUGUCUCAGAAAAAAAAAAAGAAAGAAAAAUAAAUCUAGUCUACCUAAGAGUACAGUGUUUGUAAGUCUGCAGUGGUAUACAGUAAUGUCCUAGGCCUUCUCAUUCACUCAUUCACCCAGAGCAACUUCCAGUCCUGCAAGCUCCAUUCACGAUAAGUGCCCUAUACAGGUGUGCCAUUUUUAAUGUUUUAUACUGUUUUUUUUUACUGUAUCUUUUAGGUACAGUUGCCUACAGUAUUUAGUACAGUAAUAUGCUGUACAGGUUUGUAGCCCAGGAGCAGUAAGCUGUAUCACAUAGCGUUGGCGUGUAGCAAGCCAUACCAUUUAGGUUGGUGUGAGUACACUGAUACUCCCACAACUAUAAAGUCACCCAAAGGCGCAUUUCUCAGGAUGUAUCCUCAUCAUUAAGCAACCCAUGACUGUAUUUUGAGUUUGAAGUUCCAAUGGUACAUCUAAAUGGAUCUGGAAUGUGGGAGAAUAUUCCUGAACUAAAAAGAAGGAAAUUAGAAGUCAUUUUCGUGGAGGUGAUGAUUAAAGCUUUGUAAAUAGGUGAGAUUGCAAAAAAAAGUCUAGAGGAAGAAUAAAGUUGUAAAGAAACCUUCAAUAAUAAAUGAGGAGGAAACAGAAAUAGUUGAAGAUGUAAAAGAAAACCAAUUUAGGAGGCUGAGGCAGCCAGCUUGCUUGAGCUCAGGAGUUCAAGACUGCCCUGGGCAACAUGGUAAGAUCCUGUCUCUACAAAAAACAGAAAAAUUAGAUGGUUAUGGUGGCAUAUGCCUGUGUCACAGCUACUCGUGAUGCUGAAAUGGGAGGAUUGCUUGAGCCCAGGGACUUGACGCUACAGUGAGCCACGAUUGUGCCACUGCACUCCAGCCUAGACAACAGAGCAAGACCUUGUCUAAAAAAAAAAAAAAAAAAAAAAAAA
This 1080-nucleotide long non-coding RNA is filed under the name Macaca fascicularis (crab-eating macaque). RNAcentral's name for it is "lncRNA (ENSMFAG00000060722.1)". The record is from RNAcentral. Lineage: Eukaryota; Metazoa; Chordata; Mammalia; Primates; Cercopithecidae.